GUUUUAAUAAUUUAAUAAAAAUAUUGGUCUUGUAAACCAAAAAUAAGGACCAACCUUUUAAAACU
Molecule: transfer RNA, 65 nt
Filed under: Labiotermes sp. BRA029
Lineage: Eukaryota; Metazoa; Arthropoda; Insecta; Blattodea; Termitidae
Description: tRNA-Thr
Rfam family: tRNA
About the family: Transfer RNA (tRNA) molecules are approximately 80 nucleotides in length. Their secondary structure includes four short double-helical elements and three loops (D, anti-codon, and T loops).
Source: RNAcentral